This 481-nucleotide ribosomal RNA is filed under the name uncultured bacterium. RNAcentral's name for it is "bacterial SSU rRNA". It matches the Rfam family "Bacterial small subunit ribosomal RNA", at positions 45 to 518 of the family's 1533-position model. The record is from RNAcentral.
GGCCUAACACAUGCAAGUCGAGGGGCGAGCACAAGGAGCAAUCUGAGGUGGCGACCGGCGCACGGGUGAGUAACACGUAUGCAACCUGCCUGUAAGCGGGGAAUAACCCGUUGAAAGACGGACUAAUACCGCAUAAUACUAAAUUACUGCAUGGUAAUUUAUUUAAACAUUUAUGGCUUACAGAUGGGCAUGCGCAUGAUUAGCUAGUUGGAGAGGUAACGGCUCCCCAAGGCAACGAUCAUUAGGGGUUCUGAGGGGAAGGUCCCCCACACUGGUACUGAGACACGGACCAGACUCCUACGGGAGGCAGCAGUGAGGAAUAUUGGUCAAUGGACGAGAGUCUGAACCAGCCAAGUCGCGUGCAGGAAGAAUGUUCCCUAUGGAUUGUAAACUGCUUUUGCAGGGGAAUAAAGUGCAUCACGUGUGAUGUUUUGUAUGUACUCUGCGAAUAAGGAUCGGCUAACUCCGUGCCAGCCGCCGC